Molecule: ribosomal RNA, 1433 nt
Filed under: uncultured bacterium
Lineage: Bacteria
Also listed under: 1 other name
Description: bacterial SSU rRNA
Rfam family: Bacterial small subunit ribosomal RNA
Source: RNAcentral
AGAGUUUGAUCAUGGCUCAGAACGUACGCUGGCGGCACGCCUAACACAUGCAAGUCGAACGAAGUAGCAAUACUUAGUGGCAGACGGGUGAGUAACAUGUAGGUAUCUGCCCUUUGGCCUGGAAUAACACGAGGAAACUUGUGCUAAUACCGGAUAAGUCUUUACGGAGAAAGCUUUAUGCACCAUUGGAUGAGCCUGCACUUGAUUAGUUUGUUGGUGGGGUAAUGGCCUACCAAGACUGUGAUCAAUAGCUGAUUUGAGAGGAUGAUCAGCCACAUUGGGACUGAGACACGGCCCAAACUCCUACGGGAGGCAGCAGUGGGGAAUCUUGCACAAUGGAGGAAACUCUGAUGCAGCGAUGCCGCGUGAGUGAAGAAGGCCCUUGGGUUGUAAAGCUCUUUCGUCGGGGAAGAAAAUGACUGUACCCGAAUAAGAAGGUCCGGCUAACUUCGUGCCAGCAGCCGCGGUAAUACGAAGGGACCUAGCGUAGUUCGGAAUUACUGGGCUUAAAGAGUUCGUAGGUGGUUGAAAAAGUUAGUGGUGAAAUCCCAGAGCUUAACUCUGGAACUGCCAUUAAAACUUUUCAGCUAGAGUAUGAUAGAGGAAAGCAGAAUUUCUAGUGUAGAGGUGAAAUUCGUAGAUAUUAGAAAGAAUACCAAUUGCGAAGGCAGCUUUCUGGAUCAUUACUGACACUGAGGAACGAAAGCAUGGGUAGCGAAGAGGAUUAGAUACCCUCGUAGUCCAUGCCGUAAACGAUGUGUGUUAGACGUUGGAAAUUUAUUUUCAGUGUCGCAGGGAAACCGAUAAACACACCGCCUGGGGAGUACGACCGCAAGGUUAAAACUCAAAUGAAUUGACGGGGACCCGCACAAGUAGUGGAGCAUGUGGUUUAAUUCGAAGAUACGCGCAGAACCUUACCAACACUUGACAUGUUCGUCGCGACUCUAAGAGAUUAGAGUUUUCGGUUCGGCCGGACGAAACACAGGUGCUGCAUGGCUGUCGUCAGCUCGUGUCGUGAGAUGUUGGGUUAAGUCCCGCAACGAGCGCAACCCUCACUUUUAGUUGCCAUCAUUAAGUUGGGCACUCUGAAAGAACUGCCAGUGAUAAGCUGGAGGAAGGUGGGGAUGACGUCAAGUCCUCAUGGCCCUUACGUGUUGGGCUACACACGUGCUACAAUGGUAUCUACAACAGGAAGCAAGACUGCGAAGUUAAGCAAAUCCCUAAAAGAUACCUCAGUUCGGAUUGCACUCUGCAACUCGAGUGCAUGAAGCUGGAAUUACUAGUAAUCGUGGAUCAGCGUGCCACGGUGAAUGCGUUCCCGGGUCUUGUACACACCGCCCGUCACACCAUGGGAGUUGGUUCUACCUUAAGGCAAGGUUUCAAACCCUUGACCACGGUAUAGUCAGCGACUGGGGUGAAGUCGUAACAAGGUA